Cicer arietinum (chickpea) is the source of this 1704-nucleotide non-coding RNA. Lineage: Eukaryota; Viridiplantae; Streptophyta; Magnoliopsida; Fabales; Fabaceae. The record is from RefSeq and is a predicted model, not a curated record.
CGCCUUAUUUUUUAAUUUUAAUUUCUAUCGUUCUUCUAUCAUCUUCGUUAUUAUUCUUAGUUCGGGUCCACUUCGACGACCAAUUUUCCCAGCGUUUUCUGCUAUUUUGAUUUCUACAAAAUCUUUGCUACCUUGCAACUGAUUUUCCUCACUCGUUCAACCUAAAUACACAUCCCUCGCCUAAUUUCAACCAUUCCACAAAAUCCUAUUCAAUCAAUUUCAAAACCCUAACCCAUUCCAUGGCGUCCAAGAAGCAAUCGGAAGGAAUCGCCUUGUUGUCCUUGUACAACGACGAUGGUGACGACGAAAUGGAGGACAUCGAAGACGAAGACGAAGAAGAAGAUGAAGACGUGAUGCGCGGGGAGUAUCAUGAUGACGCCGCUGGACCCGCGGCGGAUGAAGAUUUGGCCGCUGACACAGAUAGAACGACGGUUGCUGAUUCCGGAAACGAGGUAGCCGGCGACGGUUUUACUCCGACGGAGAAGAGUAGGACCCCACAUGUGAACAGGUUGUUUUCGCCGCCGCAAGAGCAACAACGUGUGGAAUUGAGGAUUAGUAGGAGUGCCACGCUUACGAUAGUUGACUAUGGCCAUGACGAAGUAGCAAUGUCACCUGAGCCUGAGGAGGGAGAGAUAGAUGGUAGUGGUCGAGUCAUGUUUGGGGAUCAGCUUCAUGUGAUAAAUGGUGAUUUGCUGGAUAGAACAUCAUCAGGAACAGUCCAAGUUUUGACACCUAACAAUCAAGCUAACACACCCCAAUUUUCUGAGGCGUUGCAAUCUGAUACCUUGAAUAAUGAUGCUGUGAUUAGACCCAAUGAUGCAGAGCUUGAAGAAGCAGAUCAAGAUGAGCAUAAGUCUGUAGAUCCAUUGGAUAAAUUUCUUCCUCCUCCGCCCAAAGCUAAAUGCUCAGAGGAGCUACAAAGAAAAAUAAAUAAAUUUCUGGAGUAUAAGAAGGCUGGAAAAAGUUUUAAUGCAGAAGUUCGCAACAGGAAGGACUAUCGAAACCCGGACUUUUUACUGCAUGCUGUGAGGUACCAGGAUAUUGAUCAAAUAGGGUCUUGCUUCAGUAAAGAUGUAUUUGACCCUCAUGGAUAUGAUUCAAGUGACUUCUAUGAUCAAAUAGAAGCUGAUAUGAGGCGAGAAAGUGAUAAGAAAGAGCAAGAGAAGAAGAAAGCACAAAAUCCGAAGGUUGAAUUUGCUUCUGGAGGUACGCAACCAGGAAUUGUGCUUGGUGCUCCCAGGAUCAGCAUGCCCGUUACAGGCGGCUCUGCUGCAACUACAGGUGGUAUGCAAUUGGUGCCUCCUGCUGCAGAUUCUAUUAAUCGCGAUGGUGGUAGGCAGAACAAAAAAUCAAAAUGGGAUAAGUGAAUUAUAGGUGGAUGGUGAUCGAAAAAAUCCUCUGCCCUUGGGCCAGGAUUCUGUAUCUACAGCAGGGGCUCAUGCGGCAAUUUUAUCUGCUGCUAAUGCUGGUAGUGGAUACAUGCUAUUUGCGCAGCAAAAACGACGAGAGGCAGAGGAGAAAAGAUCUAGUGAAAGGAGGUUGGAGAGAAGAUCAUGAUUCAUUCAUUUUGGUCUGUUGUAACAAACAUUUAUGUAAGCGGUGGAUGAGAUACUUCUGCGUUACAUUUUUGCUUGUUUAUUAACUUUGGCAACUAUAAGAGACACUGUAUAUUCUCAAAAAUGAAAAGAAAUUUUUCUGCUUUAA